RNAcentral lists this ribosomal RNA (1386 nucleotides) under metagenome. RNAcentral's name for it is "bacterial LSU rRNA". It matches the Rfam family "Bacterial large subunit ribosomal RNA", at positions 1523 to 2925 of the family's 2925-position model. The record is from RNAcentral.
GGCAGUUCCGAUAGGCAAAUCCGUCGGAAUAAUGCUGGGGUACGAUGCGGAGCGAAAUUUAGUAGCGAAGUAGCUGAUUUCACACUGUCGAGAAAAGUCUCUAUCGAGGUUAAAGGUGCCUGUACCGCAAACCGACACAGGUGGGUGAGGAGAGUAUCCUAAGGCCAGCGAGAGAACUGUUGUUAAGGAACUCGGCAAAAUGACCCCGUAACAUCGGGAGAAGGGGUGCCUUCGAAAGAAGGCCGCAGAGAAUAGGCCCAAGCGACUGUUUACCAAAAACAUAGGUUUCUGCUAAGUCGCAAGACGAUGUAUAGGAGCUGACGCCUGCCCGGUGCUGGAAGGUUAAGGGGAUCUGUUAGAGCAAUCGAAGCAGUGAACUUAAGCCCCAGUAAACGGCGGCCGUAACAAUAACGGUCCUAAGGUAGCGAAAUUCCUUGUCGGGUAAGUUCCGACCCGCACGAAAGGCGUAACGAUUUGGGCACUGUCUCAACAACAGACUCGGUGAAAUUGUAAUACCGGUGAAGAUGCCGGUUACCUGCGACAGGACGGAAAGACCCCAUGGAGCUUUACUGUAGCUUGACAUUGAGUCUCGGUGCUACAUGUACAGGAUAGGUGGGAGACUAUGAAGCAUGGACGUCAGUCUGUGUGGAGUCAUCCUUGGGAUACCACCCUUGUAGUACUGGGAUUCUAACCAGAGGCCAUGAAUCUGGUCUUGGGACACUGUCAGGUGGACAGUUUGACUGGGGCGGUCGCCUCCCAAAAAGUAACGGAGGCGCUCAAAGGUUCUCUCAGUACGGUCGGAAAUCGUACGAAGAGUGUAAAGGCAAAAGAGAGCUUGAUUGCAAGACAUACAGGUCGAGCAAGGACGAAAGUCGGACUUAGUGAUCCGGUGGUUCCGCAUGGAAGGGCCAUCGCUCAACGGGUAAAAGCUACCCUGGGGAUAACAGGCUGAUCUCCCCCAAGAGUCCACAUCGACGGGGAGGUUUGGCACCUCGAUGUCGGCUCAUCACAUCCUGGGGCUGUAGUAGGUCCCAAGGGUUGGGCUGUUCGCCCAUUAAAGUGGUACGCGAGCUGGGUUCAGAACGUCGUGAGACAGUUCGGUCCCUAUCCGUCGCAGGCGUAGGAAAUUUGAGGAGACCUGUCCUUAGUACGAGAGGACCGGGAUGGACGUACCGCUGGUGUACCAGUUGUUCUGCCAAGGGCAUGGCUGGGUAGCUAAGUACGGAAAGGAUAAGCGCUGAAAGCAUCUAAGCGCGAUGCCCACUUCAAGAUAAGAUUUCCCACCGCAAGGUUAAGAUCCCAGGAAGACUACCUGGUUGAUAGGUCAGAGGUGUAAGUGCAGUAAUGUAUUUAGCUUACUGAUACUAAUAGAUCGAGGACUUGACC